AGCGGUAGAGAGAAGCUUGCUUCUCUUGAGAGCGGCGGACGGGUGAGUAAUGCCUAGGAAUCUGCCUGGUAGUGGGGGAUAACGUUCGGAGACGGACGCUAAUACCGCAUACGUCCUACGGGAGAAAGCAGGGGACCUUCGGGCCUUGCGCUAUCAGAUGAGCCUAGGUCGGAUUAGCUAGUUGGUGGGGUAAUGGCUCACCAAGGCGACGAUCCGUAACUGGUCUGAGAGGAUGAUCAGUCACACUGGAACUGAGACACGGUCCAGACUCCUACGGGAGGCAGCAGCGGGGAAUAUUGGACAAUGGGCGAAAGCCUGAUCCAGCCAUGCCGCGUGUGUGAAGAAGGUCUUCGGAUUGUAAAGCACUUUAAGUUGGGAGGAAGGGUUGUAGAUUAAUACUCUGCAAUUUUGACGUUACCGACAGAAUAAGCACCGGCUAACUCUGUGCCAGCAGCCGCGGUAAUACAGAGGGUGCAAGCGUUAAUCGGAAUUACUGGGCGUAAAGCGCGCGUAGGUGGUUAGUUAAGUUGGAUGUGAAAUCCCCGGGCUCAACCUGGGAACUGCAUUCAAAACUGACUGACUAGAGUAU
RNAcentral lists this ribosomal RNA (589 nucleotides) under uncultured Pseudomonas sp. Its description in RNAcentral is "bacterial SSU rRNA". It matches the Rfam family "Bacterial small subunit ribosomal RNA", at positions 65 to 649 of the family's 1533-position model. The record is from RNAcentral. Lineage: Bacteria; Pseudomonadati; Pseudomonadota; Gammaproteobacteria; Pseudomonadales; Pseudomonadaceae.